UUCAGGAAGAUAAUAACGCAGUGCAACAAAUUGAAGCACCAUCAAGUGAGCCAUCGAUGGGGUUCUUC
Molecule: non-coding RNA, 68 nt
Filed under: Filamoeba nolandi
Lineage: Eukaryota; Evosea; Variosea
Source: RNAcentral